UCUCUAUUAGUAUAAUGGCAUUGCACCUACCUGCAGAAGGGGGAGAUUCUGGUUCGAAUCCAGGAUAGAGAA
Molecule: transfer RNA, 72 nt
Filed under: Bacteriophage sp.
Description: tRNA-OTHER
Rfam family: tRNA
About the family: Transfer RNA (tRNA) molecules are approximately 80 nucleotides in length. Their secondary structure includes four short double-helical elements and three loops (D, anti-codon, and T loops).
Source: RNAcentral